Molecule: non-coding RNA, 22 nt
Filed under: Rattus norvegicus (Norway rat)
Lineage: Eukaryota; Metazoa; Chordata; Mammalia; Rodentia; Muridae
Source: RNAcentral
CAAAUGAAUAAAGGUGGGGUAA